GACGAACGCUGGCGGCGUGCCUAAUACAUGCAAGUUGAGCGCUGAAGGUUGGUACUUGUACCGACUGGAUGAGCAGCGAACGGGUGAGUAACGCGUGGGGAAUCUGCCUUUGAGCGGGGGACAACAUUUGGAAACGAAUGCUAAUACCGCAUAAAAACUUUAAACACAAGUUUUAAGUUUGAAAGAUGCAAUUGCAUCACUCAAAGAUGAUCCCGCGUUGUAUUAGCUAGUUGGUGAGGUAAAGGCUCACCAAGGCGAUGAUACAUAGCCGACCUGAGAGGGUGGUCGGCCACAUUGGGACUGGGACACGGCCCAAACUCCUACGGGAGGCAGCAGUAGGGAAUCUUCGGAAAGAGACGAAAGGCUGACCGAGCAACGCCGCGUGAGUGAAGAAGGUUUUCGGAUCGGAAAACUCUGUUGGUAGAGAAGAACGUUGGUGAGAGUGGAAAGCUCAUCAAGUGACGGUAACUACACAGAAAGGGACGGCUAACUACGUG
RNAcentral lists this ribosomal RNA (497 nucleotides) under uncultured bacterium. RNAcentral describes it as "partial 16S ribosomal RNA". It matches the Rfam family "Bacterial small subunit ribosomal RNA", at positions 28 to 507 of the family's 1533-position model. The record is from RNAcentral.